GGUAUUUUGACCGUGCAAAGGUAGCAUAAUCAAUAGUUUUUUAAUUGAAAGCUGGAAUGAAAGGUUGGAUGAGAAAUAAGCUGUCUCUAUUUAAUUUUAUUAGAAUUUUAUUUUUAAGUUAAAAAGCUUAAAUUUUGAUAGAAGACGAGAAGACCCUAUAGAGUUUUAUUUAUUUAUUUAAUAAGAUUAUUAGUAUAGAUUAUUUUUAUUUAAAAAAUAAAUUUAGUUGGGGUGAUUGAAAAAUUUAAUAAACUUUUUAUAUAUUUAUACAUUAAUAUAUGAAUGCUUGAUCCUUAGUUUAAGAUUAAAAGAUAAAAUUACCUUAGGGAUAACAGCGUAAUUUUUUUUGAGAGUUCUGAUCGAAAGAAAAGAUUGCGACCUCGAUGUUGGAUUAAAAUAAAAUUUUGGUGUAGAAGCUAAAA
Molecule: ribosomal RNA, 422 nt
Filed under: Laparocerus rasus
Lineage: Eukaryota; Metazoa; Arthropoda; Insecta; Coleoptera; Curculionidae
Also listed under: 1 other name
Description: partial 16S ribosomal RNA
Source: RNAcentral